RNAcentral lists this ribosomal RNA (820 nucleotides) under Bacillus safensis. Its description in RNAcentral is "bacterial SSU rRNA". It matches the Rfam family "Bacterial small subunit ribosomal RNA", at positions 47 to 849 of the family's 1533-position model. Lineage: Bacteria; Bacillati; Bacillota; Bacilli; Caryophanales; Bacillaceae. The record is from RNAcentral.
CCUAAUACAUGCAAGUCGAGCGGACAGAAGGGAGCUUGCUCCCGGAUGUUAGCGGCGGACGGGUGAGUAACACGUGGGUAACCUGCCUGUAAGACUGGGAUAACUCCGGGAAACCGGAGCUAAUACCGGAUAGUUCCUUGAACCGCAUGGUUCAAGGAUGAAAGACGGUUUCGGCUGUCACUUACAGAUGGACCCGCGGCGCAUUAGCUAGUUGGUGGGGUAAUGGCUCACCAAGGCGACGAUGCGUAGCCGACCUGAGAGGGUGAUCGGCCACACUGGGACUGAGACACGGCCCAGACUCCUACGGGAGGCAGCAGUAGGGAAUCUUCCGCAAUGGACGAAAGUCUGACGGAGCAACGCCGCGUGAGUGAUGAAGGUUUUCGGAUCGUAAAGCUCUGUUGUUAGGGAAGAACAAGUGCGAGAGUAACUGCUCGCACCUUGACGGUACCUAACCAGAAAGCCACGGCUAACUACGUGCCAGCAGCCGCGGUAAUACGUAGGUGGCAAGCGUUGUCCGGAAUUAUUGGGCGUAAAGGGCUCGCAGGCGGUUUCUUAAGUCUGAUGUGAAAGCCCCCGGCUCAACCGGGGAGGGUCAUUGGAAACUGGGAAACUUGAGUGCAGAAGAGGAGAGUGGAAUUCCACGUGUAGCGGUGAAAUGCGUAGAGAUGUGGAGGAACACCAGUGGCGAAGGCGACUCUCUGGUCUGUAACUGACGCUGAGGAGCGAAAGCGUGGGGAGCGAACAGGAUUAGAUACCCUGGUAGUCCACGCCGUAAACGAUGAGUGCUAAGUGUUAGGGGGUUUCCGCCCCUUAGUGCUGC